CCGACUGCUAUCGGGGUGAGACUAAGCCAUGCGAGUCGGACGUCCCCAGCUAUGGAGGGACGUGGCAGACGGCUCAGUAGCACGUAGUCAACCUACCCUAUGGACGGCGAUAACGUCGGGAAACUGACGCUAAUAGCCGACAGAGAAUGGGUUCUGGAAAGGCCCGUUCUUGAAAGGUCGAGGGGACCAUGCAUCCCUCGAUGCCGUAGGAUGGGACUGCGCCCGAUCAGGCUGAUGGCGGGGUAAUGGCCCACCAUACCUAUAACCGGUGCGGGCCCUGAGAGGGGGAGCCCGGAGAUGGAUCCUGAGACAAGGAUCCAGGCCCUACGGGGCGCAGCAGGCGCGAAACCUCCGCUAUGUGCGAAAGCACGACGGGGUCACCCCGAGUGUCGGCCGCUGAGGUUGACUUUUCUUUGGUCCAAAAGGCCAGAGGAAUAAGGGGAGGGCAAGAUUGGUGUCAGCCGCCGCGGUAAUACCAACUCCCCGAGUGGUCGGGAUGAUUACUGGGCUUAAAGCGUCCGUAGCCUGUUCGACGAGUUCUCCGUUAAAUCCGGCGUCCCAAGCGUCGGACCGCGGGGAAUACUGUCGGACUUGGGAGUGGAAGAGGCCGGCGGUACUCUCUGGGGAGGGGUAAAAUCCACAGAUCCAGGGAGGACCACCAGUGGCGAAGGCGGCCGGCUAGGACACGUCCGACGGUGAGGGACGAAAGCUGGGGGAGCGAUUCGGAUUAGAUACCCGGGUAGUCCCAGCUGUAAACGAUGCAGGCUAGGUGUGCGGGCGGUCAAGAGCUGCCCGUGUGCCGUAGGGAAACCGUUAAGCCUGCCGCCUGGGAAGUACGGCCGCAAGGCUGAAACUUAA
This 858-nucleotide ribosomal RNA is filed under the name uncultured archaeon. Its description in RNAcentral is "bacterial SSU rRNA". It matches the Rfam family "Archaeal small subunit ribosomal RNA", at positions 23 to 859 of the family's 1478-position model. The record is from RNAcentral.